CAGAAGAGCAGGGAGCCUGCCUGGAAAAGAGGCCAGGGUUUUCCAACCAGACUGGCAGGCAGGACUCCUUGCAAAAAAAAGAGCCUCUUGGCUCCUGCGGCUGUUGCUGAAAUAGCCCCCUAACCCCCACCCCAGUCUCUCGGUUUCUCUCUCUGAGGCCCCCAACAGGUGAUGGAUUUGUCUGCCAGAGAGAUUUUCAUCUAGGUCUUUGCCCUCCAUUUCUGGAACAUUGUUGUGGGGCUAUGCAGACGCUGGACAGAUGCCUGGAUGCUGUAAUGGGCUGGAUGGAGGCCAGCCUACUGAAGCUGAAUCUACAUAACAUUAGAAGCUCAGUAGAUUGUGGGAAUCGGGAUGGAGCUGCACUCCCCUCUAUAGGGAAGAUGCACAGUUUGAGAGUAGUCCUGGAUCCAUCUUUAUCAUUGCAGGAUCAGGGGCCUUUUUAGGUGAAUGGGUUGGACAAUAAGGCAGACACAGUCUCCAGACCUUCAGCACCUUUCCAUCCCUACAGUUAAGACUAAUAUGAAUGUCUUGAGACCACAUUCCAGCUUGAUC
Long non-coding RNA from Sceloporus undulatus (fence lizard), 552 nucleotides. RefSeq lists it as uncharacterized. The record is from RefSeq and is a predicted model, not a curated record. The transcript has 3 exons. Lineage: Eukaryota; Metazoa; Chordata; Lepidosauria; Squamata; Phrynosomatidae.